This 539-nucleotide long non-coding RNA is filed under the name Lepisosteus oculatus (spotted gar). Its description in RNAcentral is "lncRNA (ENSLOCG00000023237.1)". Lineage: Eukaryota; Metazoa; Chordata; Actinopteri; Semionotiformes; Lepisosteidae. The record is from RNAcentral.
UGAACCUUUACUAUUCUUCUUCCCUGUGGCGUGGAGGGAGUGGUGCUGGAAACGCUGACGUCUGUCCUCAGAGCAGCGCUCGGGGUUAGAGGACUGUCAGGCAACCAGGGGACACAAACAAGCCGGUAACUAUUGACUCGGGCUGGGGAAGAGCUAGCCGGAGAAAGGGCCAGGGCCAGUGCCGGGGUGACGGGACAUCCCGGGAGUCUGUGACUGAGUCCGGGCCGGGCGCCUCCAGACUGCCCUCGGGACGCGACGCGACGCGUGGCGUGCUUCUCCGCGCGAGGACGGGGCUCGCGGAGGCAGGUCGGGCAGCACCACAGGGCGCGAGGCGGGACCCCCCAGCAUGGCGAGGCGAUUCACCAAUCGGCUGAGCGCACGAAGGUAAGCCCCGCCCCCCGCGGCAGCCCGGCCGGAGGAGCUCGCGCCUGUCGUUCCCCCGCACUGAUCCGCGCUGACUUGCGGUUCCAAUGAAAGGCCCCAAUGUCUGUCUUUUUAUAACCGGUGUUUCCCCUUUCAUGCCCAAAAGCCAGCAGCCA